This 253-nucleotide ribosomal RNA is filed under the name uncultured bacterium. RNAcentral's name for it is "partial 16S ribosomal RNA". It matches the Rfam family "Bacterial small subunit ribosomal RNA", at positions 524 to 776 of the family's 1533-position model. The record is from RNAcentral.
UACAGAGGUCCCGAGCGUUGUUCGGAUUUAUUGGGCGUAAAGGGUGCGUAGGCGGCGGAGUAAGUUGGGUGUGAAAUCCCGAGGCUCAACCUCGGAAUUGCAUUCAAUACUGCUUCGCUCGAGUACUGGAGAGGAGGCUGGAAUUUACGGUGUAGCAGUGAAAUGCGUAGAUAUCGUAAGGAAGGCCGGUGGCGAAAGCGAGCCUCUGGACAGUUACUGACGCUGAUGAACGAAGGCCAGGGGAGCAAACGGG